Molecule: ribosomal RNA, 443 nt
Filed under: uncultured bacterium
Lineage: Bacteria
Description: partial 16S ribosomal RNA
Rfam family: Bacterial small subunit ribosomal RNA
Source: RNAcentral
CCUACGGGAGGCUGCAGUGGGGAAUAUUGGGCAAUGGGCGCAAGCCUGACCCAGCAACGCCGCGUGAAGGAAGAAGGCUCUCGGGUUGUAAACUUCUUUUAUCAGGGACGAAGCAAGUGACGGUACCAUAUGAAUAAGGAUCGGCUAACUCCGUGCCAGCAGCCGCGGUAAUACGGAGGAUCCGAGCGUUAUCCGGAUUUAUUGGGUGUAAAGGGCGUGUAGGCGGGAAAGCAAGUCAGAUGUGAAAACCAUGGGCUCAACCUGUGGCCUGCAUUUGAAACUGUUUUUCUUGAGUACUGGAGAGGCAGACGGAAUUCCUAGUGUAGCGGUGAAAUGCGUAGAUAUUAGGAGGAACACCAGUGGCGAAGGCGGUCUGCUGGACAGCAACUGACGCUGAGGCGCGAAAGCGUGGGGAGCAAACAGGAUUAGAUACCCCGGUAGUC